RNAcentral lists this small RNA (129 nucleotides) under Rhizobium sp. N113. Its description in RNAcentral is "miscellaneous other RNA". Lineage: Bacteria; Pseudomonadati; Pseudomonadota; Alphaproteobacteria; Hyphomicrobiales; Rhizobiaceae. RNAcentral also lists the same sequence under 9 other names. The record is from RNAcentral.
CAAAAUCGCUGCCCGGUUCGGGGUGGCAUGCAUGAGCUGCGGCCUGUUUUUUGACGGAGGGCCGCGACUUGGCAGAUGAUGACAAGGACAGCAAAACAGAAGCCCCGACCGCGAAAAAGCAAACGGAUG